Long non-coding RNA from Thalassophryne amazonica, 720 nucleotides. RefSeq lists it as uncharacterized. The record is from RefSeq and is a predicted model, not a curated record. The transcript has 3 exons. Lineage: Eukaryota; Metazoa; Chordata; Actinopteri; Batrachoidiformes; Batrachoididae.
CACACACACACAGAGGACCUGCUGCUAAAGCAGUGGGGAUCUGCAGCGUGGACCGGACUGGAAUGCUGACCCUCGAUCCAUCUCCAUCAGCGGAGACGCAUUUGUUUGACUUGAGAUGUGAUUAUGUUUUCUCUUCCCCACACCUGCAGCUUCCUCUGGAUAUAUCCCCACACCCCCCCCCCCCCUGUGCCUUUGGACUCUCACUGAUCAAUUACUUCAACUUGGAAAAAUACUGAUGCAGCUGCUACUGCUUUUCAUCGUGUUUUAUAUUUUCUGUUGCAGUUCGUGUACGGGCCUAAAGGAAGAGCGAGACGUCGACCCGAGCAGCAGCUGCAUCACAGCAGAGGGUCACGCAGAGUCCAUCACUUAGGCUGGCUAUCAGCGAUUAAAUAGCUCAAUAGUGUGAGAUCGUUAGACAGAUUGUGGCUGUAUCUGAAGUCCUGUGGACACCAGACCAUCAUGGUGAAGAGUAAGAAGGUCUGGGUCGUGGUGGCAGUAGACCAAGCAGCUCAUACCACACUUCCUCAUCCUUGGCCAAGUCCUCUAACGCCUCGUGGAGGAUUCAGACUGGAACAAAUUUGUUGAACUAAAAAUAUGUUGUUGAGGAAAGUGCAAAGGUUUAUGUAACAUUAACUUUUCAUUUUUUUAAACUUUCUUUUUGUUUCUUUUUAAUUAAAAUGAAGGUAGGUAUGAAAUAUUUUAUAAUCUCCUUUGAGAUAA